This 206-nucleotide unclassified non-coding RNA is filed under the name plant metagenome. RNAcentral's name for it is "partial contains small subunit ribosomal RNA, internal transcribed spacer 1, and 5.8S ribosomal RNA". The record is from RNAcentral.
UCUCCGUAGGUGAACCUGCGGAGGGAUCAUUACCAGAGAUGGCGGGCCUCCGUGCCCCCGUCCCCAACCCAUUGUUGACCAACACCUUUUUGCCUCGGGGGCAGAGCGUCCGCCGCCGCCCCCGGAGGACCACCGAACGCUGUCUCUAUACGUCAGAGUAUUGAUUAAAUGAAUGAAAACUUUCAACAACGGAUCUCUUGGUUCUG